CCGGUGUGGAGUGAGUGAGUGAGGGAGAAAGCAGGAGAAAUGUGAAAAAUCCGUGUCUCGGUGUUUCAUGGCGCGCGGAGGCCUGAGCGGUGUGGAGUGAAGAGCUGACGGAUCAGCAGCAUGGUAAACAAACCCAGCUUUUUAUUCCUGCUCAUGACACGUCCUUUAUUCCCAUCCGCUGCCCUGAACACAGCGAUCAACACCGCACUUUGUGCACUUUGUGUUCUGAGGCUUGAUCAUUUCUCCGGGAAGGUUUUGCGCUUUAACUAAACUAACUUUCAGUCGCCAAAAAAAAAAAGAAAGAAAAAAAACUAGCUUUCGAGGAACGCAGCCGGACUCGCGCGCUUCAUUUCUGCACAUGAAGAGUUAAUUUUCCAUCAGGUCGUGACUGGAGAGGUUUAGUGUGCAUGUGCAGAUUUAUUGCAAAUUAAAUGUUAUUUUAAGUGCAUGCAGUCUGAGUGUUUGUUAUUGGAGGAUUUUUUUAGUAUGAUUGAUUGUUUGUUUUUCAGGCACGGAUUCAGGAUUGUGUUUUAGUGAACAAGUGCAGUGUACAUGAGUCUGCCUUUGGACUUCAUGGCCUUAAACCAGGCUUACUGUGUUUCUCGUGUGUGUGUGUGUGUGUGUGUGUGUGUGUGUGUAAGGAGAAGAAAAAAGUUUUAAACUUUGCAUAUUUUAUGAAUAUGUGAAUCCAGGACUGUUGCACUUGGAUAUGCAUCUUCCAUGGAUUGCAUUUUUAGUCGUGAAGAGCAAUCUGGAGCUUUACCCAGAAAACUUGGUGUGUUUUUGUGUGUGAUUUCUCUCACUGCUUCAGCAUCCUCGAACCUCAGUUUGGUAACACGUGAUUUAUCUACAUCUAUAUGCACAUGCAUAUUAAUGUGGCUCUUUAUUCUUCCUAGCUGAAUUGCAUCCCUGACCUUUGACCCCUAUGGACAGCAUCCUUCCAACUUUUCAGUCAGUCAUGCUUCUGGUUAAAUGAGUUCCAUUUGUUCGUCUUUAUUGUGAUAUUAUAUCACACAAGGCUGUUAUGCAGUCCAAUUACUCAUUUUUGUGUUAUGUACUGUGAUCUUCCUGAUCAAUAUCAGAUGUGCCAGAUGUUUCACUGCAUUGCUCACGUCAUUAUGUGAACCAAAAAAAGCAAAGAAUUUGGAUGAAAAUAUCUCAAGGCAUCGUUUAACCAUUAACAUCCAAGCUUAACCAGUCAGGUUUAUAACAGUGCAUGGAGCAGUAUGAUAUCUUUCAACCCUGAUAGUUAACUGAUAGCAAGGAACAGUAGCCUGUGAGCUGUCAGUCCCAGUGAAGGGGGCGUGGCCUCUAUGCCUGUCAGUACUAGUGAAUGGCAUGGCCUCUGUGCUUGUCUAUUCCCAGUGAAGGAGGCGUGGCCUCUGUGCUUGUCUAUUUCCAGUGAGGGGGCGUGGCCUCUGUGCUUGUCUACUCCCAGUGAAGGAGGCGUGGCCUCUGGGCUUGUCUAUUCCCAGUGAAGGAGGCGUGGCCUCUGGGCUUGUCUAUUCCAGUGAAGGAGGCGUGGCCUCUGGGCUUGUCUAUUCCCAGUGAAGGAGGUGUGGCCUCUGGGCUUGUCUAUUCCCAGUGAAGGAGGCGUGGCCUCUGGGCUUGUCAAUUCCCAGUGAAGGAGGUGUGGCCUCUGGGCUUGUCUAUUCCCAGUGAGGGGAGGCGUGGCCUCUGGGCUUGUCUAUUCCCAGUGAAGGAGGCGUGGCCUCUCGGCUUGUCUAUUCCCAGUGAAGGAGGCGUGGCCUCUGGGCUUGUCUAUUCCCAGUGAAGGAGGCGUGGCCUCUGGGCUUGUCUAUUCCCAGUGAAGGAGGCGUGGCCUCUGGGCUUGUCAAUUCCCAGUGAAGGAGGCGUGGCCUCUGGGCUUGUCUAUUCCCAGUGAAGGAGGCGGGGCCUCUGGGCUUGUCUAUUCCCAGUGAAGGAGGCGGGGCCUCUGUGCCUGUCAGUUCUAGUAACCGAGGUGUGGCCUUUUUGCCUGUCCGUUCUAGUGAUGGAGGCGGGGUCUCUGUGCCUGUCUGUUCUAGUAACAGAGGCGUGGCUUUCUGUGUCCAUCGGUUUCUGUGAAGGAGGUACGGCCUAUGCGUCCGUCAGUCUCUAUGAAGGAGGCGUGGCCUCUGUGUGUGUCAGUUAUAGUGAAGCAGACAUGGCCUUUUUGGUUUUCUGUUCCCAGUGAGGAAGGCUUGGCCUUUGUGUGUGCCAGUUCUACUGAAGGAGGCGUGACCACUGUCUGUCAGUUCUAAUGAAGUAGGUGUGGCUUCCCAGUUCCUUAAAAUUAAAUCUUUCUUUAGGUGAAUUUGAAAUGUUGCCAUAAUACUGAAUCAGGUUAUAGCCUGUAACUUUUUAAAUUAAGGUAUUGAGCUGUGAGAUACACACGAUUAAUUACAAUGAACGCAUUAAAUAAUUGUCACAAACUAUUCAGUUUACCAGUCUGAGAAAAUUGUGGUCGAUUGUGAACAAACUGCUACUCUUAAGUGACGUGUGAUGAAGCUGAAUCCCUAACGAGUCUCAGCUAAUGUUUAUUUACCGAUAAUAAGAUAAACUAAUAAAAUGUGAUGACCACUUUAAUUUAAAUCAGUGCACGCCUAAUGGAUUGUAGAAUAUUUAUUUGACCGUGUAAUCAGUAUCACUUUUCACUUAUGAGGCAGGGCUCAUCUGAGGGCGUUAUUGGCUUUGGGGUCGAUUCAGGAUCCUCCUCAUUAGAAGUGGUGCAGUGAUGCAGUAAUCUUGCCUUCAGCUCACAUCUGGAUGCUCGGGUUAAUAUCUGGGUCGGGUCAGUACUGUAGCAGUCAGAGUCCACUCUCUUUAGCUUCUGGUUGAGAGCCUGUGUGUUUUCUGAGUGGGUGUUACGGACAUCUGGGGCUCUAAAGCAGGAGUUGCAAUCCUUUUUCAGCUUACUGGAAUGGGACUGAAGUGAGUUUCAGGUUUCUAGAAACUUUUUGCAGAAUAGCAUGCCAUAAAAGGCCAAUGAAUAGCCUUUAAAUGAAGUAUUUGGUAGAGACAUAAGUCAUUAAAUGGGAUUAAAAGGUCUACCAUUACUUCAUCCUGAAAAGCAGUUGAUUAUUAUUUUUUUUCAGAAAUUAUAUCUGCUUACAUAAGAAUGGAUAAAAAUCUCCAGGUCCCUCACUUAAUCUAUCCUGAAAUACUUUUACAUUUUAAGUGGGAUUCAUCUAAAACCUCUGAAAGCUGGGUUUGUGUUCAUGUUCCAUAAUUAGCGUUGUCAUGAAGUUUAGCAUAUUCAGUUAAAGCAUACCUUAAAUAAAUGCUUUCAGGGUGUUUUAGAGGAGUAUACAUGAAGCUUUUACAUUUUUGGGGUGGAUGCUGCCAGAUGUUUUAUUCCUUUUAUACCACAGCAGGAACAUCUACGAAACAAAUCACCAACUAGCCGAGCCGAGUCUUUCCGUAACCUGUAGCUGCAUUGUUUUGUGGGAAUUUGAGUAAAACGAUUGGCAUCUCCUUUACUCCUACAUUGGAUUUUUCGAUAAUAGGACAUUUGAAAAUGGUGAGUAUGAAAAAAAAAAGUUCUUGCUUUUUUGUUUUUAGGAGCUAACAGCGAACCAUUAUCCCUUAUGUUUGAGAGAGCUCAAUUAUUUUUCAACUCCAUUUAAACGCCUUUGUAACUGCGCUACCAAUAAGAAAGUCUCCCUGUGACUUCAUUAUGACACAUAACCGCUAAUCAUUAAGCACAUGAAUGUGUUUCAGGUUGGACUUUUCCUUUAAUCUGUCACCCUCCCAGGAAAUGUCAGUGACUCCUGACUUUAACUCAUAUCCACUUGCACGUGUCUAUACUACAGAUCUCAAAACCUCGCAAUAGACAUGAGGUGACAUUAAUGAGUCUUAUUUGAAGCGGAUGGACGUUGAAGGCAUACCAUAAUUUACACUGAAAAGAAAUGUUUACAUUGUGUAGCAUUAUUAACCAGUAAUAACUAUGGCUGUGAUUGCUGUGUAUAAUAACUCGGCCUUUGUGUUUGGGAGUGGUGACUGCAUUGUGACUGCUUCGAAUUGUCAGUGGUAUUUGCUUGAAAGAUGAGAGUACAAACUCUAUUUGACCUCAGCACCAGGACAGAAGGGUUUAGAUUUUGUUAUUAGCAUUUCUGUUGUUGUAGCCUCCAUACCGGCAGCUUCUUAGUGGCGUCUGAAGUGCUUAUGGCUGCCUGCUGGUCCUCACACACGUCUGCACUGUUCACAAAAUAUAAAGGAGCUCAAAAUUACAGCCCUCUCUCUGUGUUUCCGUCUCUUCCUUCCUGUCAGA
Ictalurus punctatus (channel catfish) is the source of this 4252-nucleotide long non-coding RNA. Lineage: Eukaryota; Metazoa; Chordata; Actinopteri; Siluriformes; Ictaluridae. The record is from Ensembl.